Orbicella faveolata is the source of this 1141-nucleotide long non-coding RNA. NCBI's taxonomy places the organism in Eukaryota, Metazoa, Cnidaria, Anthozoa, Scleractinia, Merulinidae. The record is from RefSeq and is a predicted model, not a curated record.
UGAUACAUUUUGCAGCCCAUGGUAAUGCUGACCGAGGAGAAAUUGCCCUUUCUCCGGUACGCCCCUCUGACAGGACGCCAGAAGAAGAAGAUUACCUUUUGAGGAUGUCGGACAUUGCACAAGUUGAAUUGCGAGCUAAGCUGGUAAUACUUAGCUGUUGCCAUAGUGCGUGUGGGCAGAUUAGAACCGAAGGAGUCAUUGGAAUCGCUCGAGCGUUCAUAGGAUCCGGUGCACGGUCCGUUUUGGUGGCUCUAUGGGCCAUAAGUGACGAAGCAACAGAGCAGCUGAUACUUGAAUUCUACGAGCAUCUUGUUCGUGGUGAGAGUGCCAGUGAAUCUCUUCACCAGGCCAUCAAGUGGAUGAGAGGUAACGGCUUUGACAGGGUUUCUGAGUGGGCACCAUUUAUGCUGAUUGGAGAUAACGUGACUUUUGACUUUGGAAAAUAAGAGCUUGCUUUGCACCAGGAUCAUACCCGGAGUCUGACAUUGAAAUUCAAGAUGCCGCCCAGCUGUUCCCCGAAUACAGACACAGUUUGAAUCAAAGAGACGAUUUAAUUUGUGCAAGGAGUACCUCCGUGACAAGACUGGUUAAUGCGAAACGAAAGUAGUAGAAAUGAUCAGUCAGUAGUCAGUAGUCAGUAGCAAAUCAGGAUAUAUUUCUAUCCUUUACCGGUUAUGUCAAAAACUGAGGAACCCCCAGAUCUCGAGGUUGCUCAUGCUCUUCAAGUCCCAAUGUAUCCCUGGUAGGGGUGGUGUCUACAAGCUCCCUGCCUUCAAAGCAACUUGUUCUCUACCCAACGUCACCCAAGAUUUCUAUAUUAAACGGUUCUCUGCUAUUUAGAAACUACCAAACAAUUUUUUUCCAUAUACAAAGGCUCUAAGUCUAUCUAGGACCAUCUGUCAAUGAUUUACGUGGCAGAGGCAUGGCAGUAGAAACUAGAGUGAGCUUAAAAUAAACUAUCGUCGAUUAUAAUUAUCGCAAACUUCUUGGCGCCGGUUAAUCAUGUAAAUGACAGUUGAUGAUAGUUAGGGAAACUAUUUAUUUUUCUCGAAGUAUCAUUGACUAAGAUGCACCGUGCGACCAGAGCACAGAACUUUGACUUCAUUUUUUAGUGUUUAAGUAGCUUCAAGUACAAGUUCAG